GAUGAACGCUGGCGGCGUGCUUAACACAUGCAAGUCGAACGAACUGAGGAGAGCUUGCUCUCCAAAGUUAGUGGCGGACGGGUGAGUAACGCGUGGGUAACCUACCCUAUGCAGGGGGAUAACGUUUGGAAAUGAACGCUAAUACCGCAUAAACUAUCGAGUUUCGCAUGAAACUUAUAGCAAAGAUGCAGACUUUAGUCUGUUUUCGGCAUAGGAUGGACCCGCGUUGGAUUAGCUAGUUGGUGAGAUAAUAGCCCACCAAGGCGACGAUCCAUAGCCGGCCUGAGAGGGUGAACGGCCACAUUGGGACUGAGACACGGCCCAAACUCCUACGGGAGGCAGCAGUGGGGAAUAUUGCACAAUGGGCGCAAGCCUGAUGCAGCAACGCCGCGUGAAGGAUGAAGGUCUUCGGAUUGUAAACUUCUAUCAGUAGGGAAGAAUAAAUGACGGUACCUAACUAAGAAGCUCCGGCUAACUACGUGCCAGCAGCCGCGGUAAUACGUAGGGAGCAAGCGUUAUCCGGAUUUACUGGGUGUAAAGGGUGCGUAGGCGGCUUGUUAAGUCAGAAGUGAAAUUUCGGGGCUCAACCCCGGAGCUGCUUCUGAAACUGGCGAGCUAGAGUGUGGGAGAGGAAAGUGGAACUUUGAGUGUAGCGGUGAAAUGCGUAGAGAUUCAAAGGAACACCAGUAGCGAAGGCGGCUUUCUGGACCAUAACUGACGCUGAGGCACGAAAGCGUGGGGAGCAAACAGGAUUAGAUACCCUGGUAGUCC
Molecule: ribosomal RNA, 771 nt
Filed under: uncultured bacterium
Lineage: Bacteria
Description: bacterial SSU rRNA
Rfam family: Bacterial small subunit ribosomal RNA
Source: RNAcentral